Molecule: long non-coding RNA, 1067 nt
Organism: Sceloporus undulatus (fence lizard)
Lineage: Eukaryota; Metazoa; Chordata; Lepidosauria; Squamata; Phrynosomatidae
Exons: 3
Source: RefSeq, a predicted model, not a curated record
GUUUCAUGUCCAUAUCUUCUGCCAGGAUGUUGCAGUGCCUUGAAGAGAGCCUGGAAAUAACCAGUUACAAAAAAUUUGUUGAUUGUACUGUAGUUAAUUCAUUGUUUCAAUAACAAAGAGUUAUAAGGAAGACAUCAUUAACUGGUACAAGAGGAUUAUCAUUGAGUUUAAAUUCUGACUUGCACUGGUGACGUGUAUUCUUGUGAAUGAUCAGGAUGGGAUGAGGGCUCCGUACUACAGGCUAACAACUUAUAGCAUUCCUAUUUUUACUUGUUUAUUUUUUCAAAAGCCCAACUAAAUACUCAGUUACCAGAUUGUUGGUGUUGUUCUUCCAAGAUGCGAUGUAAGCAGUAAAAGCCUAUACAGUGUUAUUGCUUAAAUUUCUGUAAAUGUCCGUAGGUGUUCUUAAAUCACAAUUGUGCCAGUUGAAAGGAUACUAGAAUUGAGAUAUGCUCAUAGGCAUAAAAAAGUUAGUUAUGGCACCACAGAAAGCCACAGAUGUAGGAGUUUCUCUUGCAACCAUUUUUUGUUGUUGUUCUUCUGAUAUAACUGGAAAGGUGCAUUUGAUUUUUUUUUUCAAACUUGACAUCACAUUUGUCCCAGAACCUAGAAAGAUGUUCAGUGCACCAUCUGGUUAAUUUUCAUGGGAUCAUUUUCAGUUAUUGAGGUCUGAUGAUAUGGACAAAAUGCUUGAAGCAGUUUCACCUACCAUGUAUAAUCUCAACCCUUGCCAUCUUGGCUGAUAAAAUCUAACAGGGGAGAAUUGACCAGGUGGAUCCAGAGAGUGAUAAAUGCCUCACUCCAUCAGGAGGAGAUGCCUGCUGCCUUGGAGGAGGAGGUUGCACACUAUCUCCUGAAGAGGGCCUCCCUGGAUUCAGAGCCUUUUCUGGGUCUGGCAGAGCUGCUGCACCAAGGAGCAAAUGGAAAAGCGGAAGUAGAAGACAUCCCCUUCCCAAGUGCAGCUGGUGAUAGAUGUGGGCUGUUCCUGCCAUUUCACAGCCUUUCUGGGUCUCAUGAGCUGCUGGCUGGUCGACAAAGGAAGCAGUCUCUCUUUACCACCUGCCCAA